UCUGUAACACCCACAACCAAACUGCUGCAAAACUCACAUGCCAAGCUGAAAGCGCUGCAUGAAUCUAGAGAAGAGCAUCAGCCUCUCAGAAUGACAAGUCAAGGAUCCGAAGGAAACAAGAUGGCAUCAAAAGGAGCUGAGACCCCACUGUUUAUAAGAAGAAAUAAGAAAUUGCCUGUUACAGAAUAUUUCAACAAUCCAAAGUCUCCUUUCAAGCCCAACACUCAGGAGAGCAGAUCAGCAAGACCAAUGUCAGUAAGGAGUGUGCAAGGCUACAGCCCUCAGAGAGCACUCUAUCCCUUAACACAUGGAAGGGAGAAGUGAACACUAGGUGGUCCUUUCACAAAAGUGGACUUCACACUGACAGAACAUCAACGUAGUUUAAAAAUGACCAAACAGUCCUCUAUCUGGUGGCACAUGUAAGUCUCAAAAACACUUACAUAUAAUGCUAGAAAUAAAUAUUAAUGAAGACUAUUUCUAUUUGUAGUUGUAAUAUUUGUAGAAUAAAUACACUUAUUUAAAUGUCAUUUCCUCUCCUGUACUAAUAAUAUUUGUACUUAAACAUAGGGCCAGUCCCAGAAAACCAUCCAUAAUCAGAAUUAAGU
This 605-nucleotide long non-coding RNA is filed under the name Rattus norvegicus (Norway rat). RNAcentral's name for it is "long non-coding RNA NONRATT016905". The record is from RNAcentral. Lineage: Eukaryota; Metazoa; Chordata; Mammalia; Rodentia; Muridae.